This is an RNA transcript of Rhododendron vialii, 2310 nucleotides long. It is a transcript of the gene named probable glycosyltransferase At5g03795, with no coding region annotated. The transcript is spliced from 6 exons. The record is from RefSeq and is a predicted model, not a curated record. NCBI's taxonomy places the organism in Eukaryota, Viridiplantae, Streptophyta, Magnoliopsida, Ericales, Ericaceae.
CUAUUACUGUGCUAUUAGGGAGUUUCGGAUGUGUAUCAUUCGGCGGAGGUAUUCAACCUGAAUUACGCCGAAAUGGAGAGGAGAUUCAAGGUGUAUAUAUAUCCCGACGGAGACCCCAAUACUUUCUACCAGACGCCGAGGAAGUUGACCGGGAAGUACGCGAGCGAGGGAUACUUUUUUCAGAAUAUCAGGGAGUCCGGCUUCCGAACGGAGGAUCCUGAUCGGGCUGAUCUCUUCUUUAUCCCUAUCUCGUGCCACAAGAUGAGAGGGAAGGGCACAUCCUAUGAAAACAUGACAGUUAUUGUCCAAAAUUAUGUGGAGAGCUUAAUAUCCAAGUAUCCUUUCUGGAAUAGAACACUGGGUGCAGAUCAUUUCUUCGUUACUUGUCAUGAUGUUGGUGUAAGGGCAACUGAAGGACUUCCACUUCUUGUAAAGAAUUCGAUUCGAGUAGUGUGCUCCCCAAGCUAUGGUAUUGGAUUUAUUCCACACAAAGAUGUUGCUCUCCCUCAAGUGCUGCAGCCGUUUGCUCUUCCAGCUGGUGGAAAUGAUGUGGAAAACAGGACAACUCUAGGUUUUUGGGCAGGCCAUAGGAACUCCAAAAUCAGAGUUAUACUCGCACGAGUAUGGGAAAAUGAUACCGAACUUGAUAUUGCAAACGACAGAAUAGACAAGGCCGCUGGACCUCUGGUAUACGAAAAUAAAUUUUACAGGACUAAGUUCUGUAUAUGUCCUGGUGGUUCUCAGGUCAACAGUGCCCGAAUAACUGAUUCAAUCCAUUAUGGUUGCGUUCCUGUGAUAUUGUCUAAUUAUUAUGACCUUCCAUUCAAUGACAUUCUCGAUUGGCGAAAAUUUUCUGUCAUACUUGAGGAGAAUGAUGUGUAUCGGCUAAAGCAAAUAUUGAAGGACAUAUCUAACUCGGAAUUUGUUGUUUUGCAAGAGAACGUUGUUAAGGUCCAGAAACACUUCCAGUUGAAUUCACCUCCCGUCAAAUACGAUGCUUUCCAUAUGGUGAUGUACGACCUCUGGUUACGCCACCAUGUGAUCAAAUACUGACUGCAAAUGCAUGUUGAUGUACGACCUCUGGUUACGCCACCAUGUGAUCUAAUACUGACUGCAAAUGCAUGGUGGUGUAUUUCUGCUUCCUGGUUGUUGUGAUCCAUUCAACGAGAAAGCACUUCGAGCUAGCCGAGGUGCCUACUUACAGCUUCCUAUGGUAACCGGCAAUUGGGCUCAUAUCCAGACUCUCACAAAAACAUUCCAUAUGAAGAUUUUGGCAGGCCAUCCCCAGAGUAUGGAUCAGUUGAAGCCAGUGUCUUUGCUUUCUCAAGCGCUUGCAUAUUCUUUUGCCGAAACGCCACUAUGCUUACUGAAGGCAAUGGACUUUCUGAGAAAACGAGGCGGGUAUCUGAGCUCAUAAGCAUUCAAAUGAUCGGAGAAUUUGAGUCUCUCAACGUUUCUGUUGCUGGCGGGAUUUUCCUGUUUCUGCUACAGCCUGUGGAGUGUGGACCAUUGAUAUGUCGGAUUCUGUGUAAAUAGUCAUACAAGAUAUAAGAUAUGGUCUCUUGCUCUAGUAACAUGGUCUGGAGGCUGAUGGACUGGUACAAGUUUGACCUAGUUUUGAGUUGCCAUUUGGGAAAGAUGAUAGUCAAAGAUACACACACACACAGGCUGUAGCGGUCGAAAACAAAAGAGGGCCGCCAGUGCAUGAGGCUCCCCUUACUCUAGCAUCUCGGGAAAUAUAGAUGUACACAGCUUUGUCUCUGCAACUGGAGAGAGUGUUUCUCCGACUUGAACCCGUGACCACCAAGUCACAUUGGGGUAAUCUUAUCGUUUCGCCCGGGCCACCCCUGAAUUAUUGGUGAUGUGAUGCCGAUAAAUUCCCUGAUUCAGGGGAUUACUAUGGGUUUUUUUUUUCCUUCCCUUUUGCGUCUUGAAUUCAUUAACACUAAUAUGUGUUUGGCCUAGAUUACUUUCAUUGUUAAUCAGUAAUAUUGAUCAAAACAAAAAAGGAAGCUCAUCUGUACUUUGGGAUUUUUGCUGUUGGAAAAGCCGUUUUAUUAUUUCCAACUUAGAGAACUGCUCUUUGAAUCUUUGAUAAAUGAUAGUAUUAUGAUGGUACUGAUAACUAAAGAUACAUGAAUGGACGAUAUUUGUUUUACAAAAUGGAGGGUGAAUCUUGAACUUAAACCAUUCACUUUCAAAUGAGUUCUAUUAAACUGUUUUUCCUCUUCACUUUAUUGAGAUUUAUCAGAUCAACGAUUUAAAUUAUUGUUGCGAGCAUAAGAUAUGAUUAGAAAGUAAAAAUGUAGA